GCCCGGAUAGCUCAGUCUGUCGAGCGUUAGGCUUUUAACCUAAAGGUCCAGGGUUCGAGUCCCUUCUCGGACA
Molecule: transfer RNA, 73 nt
Filed under: Araneus ventricosus
Lineage: Eukaryota; Metazoa; Arthropoda; Arachnida; Araneae; Araneidae
Rfam family: tRNA
About the family: Transfer RNA (tRNA) molecules are approximately 80 nucleotides in length. Their secondary structure includes four short double-helical elements and three loops (D, anti-codon, and T loops).
Source: Rfam by way of RNAcentral